RNAcentral lists this unclassified non-coding RNA (246 nucleotides) under Hevea brasiliensis (rubber tree). The record is from RNAcentral. Lineage: Eukaryota; Viridiplantae; Streptophyta; Magnoliopsida; Malpighiales; Euphorbiaceae.
UAGCCCCUCACCUGGCACCGCCUGGCUUGGCUUCGAGGAGGCAAGCUCCUCCAGCAGUAAAGGCGAGAAGCGCCAAGGCCCUAAGAUGCCUCUUUCAAGGAACGGUAAAUUUUUGUUCCCCCUUUUUAGUUGUCUUUUAACCCAAAUAAAAUUAAAGCCCUACCUAGCUACCUAUGCAAACAAGAAAAAAGAAACACAGCAACUCACAGCAGUUCUCUCUCAACAACGGGUGUGUGUUUGUGUGUG